RNAcentral lists this unclassified non-coding RNA (1296 nucleotides) under uncultured Neocallimastigales. RNAcentral describes it as "partial contains internal transcribed spacer 1, 5.8S ribosomal RNA, internal transcribed spacer 2, and large subunit ribosomal RNA". The stretch from base 537 to 1296 matches the Rfam family "Eukaryotic large subunit ribosomal RNA", at positions 1 to 620 of the family's 3401-position model. The record is from RNAcentral. Lineage: Eukaryota; Fungi; Neocallimastigomycota; Neocallimastigomycetes; Neocallimastigales.
AAUUAUUGAGUCUUUCCCUUUAGAUUGCUUUUGAGUUUGUAAAAGAAUUCGAAAACAUCUAAAGGGGAUGGUCAAUAAUUUUUUUGAAAAAAGACAUUUUUUAAAAUUAAACUUUUUGUAUUCAUUUGUCUAAAAAUUAUUUUUUAUAAUAUAAAAACAACUUUUGACAAUGGAUCUCUUGGUUCUCGCAACGAUGAAGAACGCAGCAAAAUGCGAUAAGUAGUGUGAAUUGCAGAAUACGUGAAUCAUCGAAUCUUUGAACGCAUAUUGCACUUUUUUAGUUUACUAAAAAAGUAUGUCUGUUUGAGUAUCAGUAAAAUAUUCUCAUAAAAUCAUUGUGUAUUUUUAUGGUUAUGAGUGUUUUACAACGAUACAAGUUGUUUCACUUUAAAUUUUUUUUUAAUAUUGAAAUUUUUCUAAUUUUAAUAAUUAAAAUUGGAUAAAAUUUUCCCGUCAAAAGGAAUAACCUAAACAAUUUUAAAUGAUUAAUUUUAGCAAAAUUUUCGAAAAAAAGGAAAAUUUUUAUUAAAAUAACUUGAUCUCAAAUCAGAUAAGAGUACCCGCUGAACUUAAGCAUAUCAAUAAGCGGAGGAAAAGAAACUAACAAGGAUUCCCUUAGUAACGGCGAGUGAAGCGGGAAGAGCUCAAAUUUGAAAUCUUCAAGGUUUUACCUUGACGAAUUGUAGUUUAAAGAAGUGUUUUCUGCUGAAGUUUUGGUAAAAGUUCUUUGGAAUAGGACAUCAUAGAGGGUGAGAAUCCCGUAUUUGACCAUUAUUUUCAGCUUUGUGAUACACUUUCAAAGAGUCGGAUUGUUUGGGAAUGCAGUCCAAAAUGGGUGGUAAAUUUCAUCUAAAGCUAAAUAUUGGCGAGAGACCGAUAGCGAACAAGUACCGUGAGGGAAAGAUGAAAAGAACUUUGAAAAGAGAGUUAAACAGUACGUGAAAUUGUCAAAAGGGAAGCGUUUGACACCAGUGUUGUUUUCUCGAAAAUCAAUUAAAAAUGGCUCGAUUUUGUAUUGCUGAGACCUUAAAAGCUCACUGUACAUUUUUCGUGUCUUUUUUAAUGCACUUUUCGUUUAACAAGUCAACAUCAGUUUCUUUUGUUGUAAAAGGGUCAUUGGAAGGUGGCUUCUUUUCGGAGAAAGUGUUUAUAGCCUUUGGCCUCUGCAAUCGAAGAGACUGAGGUCUGCAGCGUAGACUCUUCGGGGUUAGAUACAUUUGUGCUAAGUUAUAGCUUUUUAUAGACAACUUGUUGACUAUAAUUAGUCUUGUAGCUUACUCGCUUAUGCUAUUUUAC